This 809-nucleotide ribosomal RNA is filed under the name uncultured bacterium. Its description in RNAcentral is "bacterial SSU rRNA". It matches the Rfam family "Bacterial small subunit ribosomal RNA", at positions 681 to 1503 of the family's 1533-position model. The record is from RNAcentral.
GUGAAAUGCAUAGAUAUCCGGAGGAACCCCAAAGGCGGAGGCACUGUCCUGGCUCUUUCCUGACGCUCAGGGGCGAAAGCUAGGGGAGCGAACGGGAUUAGAUACCCCGGUAGUCCUAGCUGUAAACGAUGACCACUAGACGUUCGGGGUAUCGACCCCCUGAGUGUCGCAGCUAACGCGAGAAGUGGUCCGCCUGGGGAGUACGGUCGCAAGAUUAAAACUCAAAGGAAUUGACGGGGACCCGCACAAGCAGCGGAGCGUGUGGUUUAAUUCGAUGCAACGCGAAGCACCUUACCAGGGUUUGACAUGGCAGUGACCAGCUGAGAGAUCAGCCUUCCUUCGGGACACUGUCACAGGUGCUGCAUGGCUGUCGUCAGCUCGUGCCGUGAGGUGUUGGGUUAAGUCCCGCAACGAGCGCAACCCUCAUCGGUAGUUGGACCUGUCUACCGAGACUGCCGCGAUCAACGUGGAGGAAGGUGGGGAUGACGUCAAGUCAGCACGGCCCUUACAUCCUGGGCGACACACACGCUACAAUGGCGAGGACAACGAGUUGCCAACCCGCGAGGGGGAGCUAAUCUUGCAAACCUCGUCUCAGUUCAGAUUGCAGGCUGCAACUCGCCUGCAUGAAGAUGGAGUUGCUAGUAACCGUGAGUCAGCACAUCACGGUGAAUCCGUUCCCGGGUCUUGUACACACCGCCCGUCACACCACGAAAGUCGGCAACCCCUGAAGCCGCUGGGCUAACCCGCGAGGGAGGCAAGCGUAGAGGGAGGGGUCGGUGAAUGGGGUGAAGUCGUAACAAGGUAACCGU